UGGCUGUUUAAUUGUUUUUUUUUUUAUAAGUGCUGGCAUAUUAAUAAAGCUGCUGAGGAUGAACUGCAGGAUUGAAUUUCAGAAGCAGGUUUAAGGUUUAAUGAAUAUCAAAUCCUGGAAAGCUGUCCUUUAGGAGCCUGCAGCUUUGGUUCUGAAGUCAUCAAUUAUCAUCCUGUGAGGAACACAUGAACGGUACAGAUGGCGCCCAUUUGGAGAACACUCUCUUUUUUUGUCUUUUUAUUACCAGCAGUUCAUGCCCAAGGUGAGUGAUGAAUGUAAUUAUAUCAAAACGUAUCAGCUAAGCGGCUAUGGGUAUCUGGUGCCUGAGGAGCUCCAUAGGUGGCUAACCCAAUGCAGGCAUUGCAGGUGACCUCAAAACACACAGUAG
Molecule: long non-coding RNA, 388 nt
Organism: Polypterus senegalus (gray bichir)
Lineage: Eukaryota; Metazoa; Chordata; Cladistia; Polypteriformes; Polypteridae
Exons: 3
Source: RefSeq, a predicted model, not a curated record